ACGGGUGAGGAAUACAUCGGAAUCUGCCUUGUUGUGGGGGAUAACGUAGGGAAACUUACGCUAAUACCGCAUAAGACCGAAAGGUGAAAGUGGGGGACCGCAAGGCCUCACGCGACAAGAUGAGCCGAUGUCGGAUUAGCUAGUUGGUGAGGUAAUGGCUCACCAAGGCGACGAUCCGUAGCUGGUCUGAGAGGAUGAUCAGCCACACUGGAACUGAGACACGGUCCAGACUCCUACGGGAGGCAGCAGUGGGGAAUAUUGGACAAUGGGCGCAAGCCUGAUCCAGCCAUGCCGCGUGGGUGAAGAAGGCCUUCGGGUUGUAAAGCCCUUUUGUUGGGGAAGAAAUCGUACGGGGUAAUAUCCCGUGCGGAUGACGGUACCCAAAGAAUAAGCACCGGCUAACUUCGUGCCAGCAGCCGCGGUAAUACGAAGGGUGCAAGCGUUACUCGGAAUUACUGGGCGUAAAGCGUGCGUAGGCGGUUCGUUAAGUCUGUCGUGAAAGCCCUGGGCUCAACCUGGGAAUUGCGAUGGAUACUGGCGAGCUAGAGUACGGUAGAGGAUGGUGGAAUUCCCGGUGUAGCGGUG
This 585-nucleotide ribosomal RNA is filed under the name uncultured Dokdonella sp. RNAcentral's name for it is "bacterial SSU rRNA". It matches the Rfam family "Bacterial small subunit ribosomal RNA", at positions 102 to 683 of the family's 1533-position model. Lineage: Bacteria; Pseudomonadati; Pseudomonadota; Gammaproteobacteria; Lysobacterales; Rhodanobacteraceae. The record is from RNAcentral.